GCCCAAAUAUUAACCCCAGUCGGUGGAGCAUGAGACUCUUAAUCUCAGGGUUGUGGGUUCGAGCCCCACGUUGGGCA
Molecule: non-coding RNA, 77 nt
Organism: Podarcis lilfordi (Lilford's wall lizard)
Lineage: Eukaryota; Metazoa; Chordata; Lepidosauria; Squamata; Lacertidae
Source: the annotation of a GenBank genome assembly